AGCGGCGGACGGGUGAGUAACGCGUGGGUAACCUGCCUCAUACAGGGGGAUAACAGUUGGAAACGGCUGCUAAUACUGCAUAAGCGCACAGUACCGCAUGGUACGGUGUGAAAAACUCCGGUGGUAUGAGAUGGACCCGCGUCUGAUUAGGUAGUUGGUGGGGUAACGGCCUACCAAGCCGACGAUCAGUAGCCGACCUGAGAGGGUGACCGGCCACAUUGGGACUGAGACACGGCCCAA
Molecule: ribosomal RNA, 240 nt
Filed under: uncultured bacterium
Lineage: Bacteria
Description: partial 16S ribosomal RNA
Rfam family: Bacterial small subunit ribosomal RNA
Source: RNAcentral